GUUAAGCGACUAAGCGUACACGGUGGAUGCCCUGGCAGUCAGAGGCGAUGAAGGACGUGCUAAUCUGCGAUAAGCGUCGGUAAGGUGAUAUGAACCGUUAUAACCGGCGAUUUCCGAAUGGGGAAACCCAGUGUGAUUCGUCACACUAUCAUUAACUGAAUCCAUAGGUUAAUGAGGCGAACCGGGGGAACUGAAACAUCUAAGUACCCCGAGGAAAAGAAAUCAACCGAGAUUCCCCCAGUAGCGGCGAGCGAACGGGGAGCAGCCCAGAGCCUGAAUCAGUGUGUGUGUUAGUGGAAGCGUCUGGAAAGGCGCGCGAUACAGGGUGACAGCCCCGUACACAAAAAUGCACAUGCUGUGAGCUCGAUGAGUAGGGCGGGACACGUGGUAUCCUGUCUGAAUAUGGGGGGACCAUCCUCCAAGGCUAAAUACUCCUGACUGACCGAUAGUGAACCAGUACCGUGAGGGAAAGGCGAAAAGAACCCCGGCGAGGGGAGUGAAAAAGAACCUGAAACCGUGUACGUACAAGCAGUGGGAGCACGCUUAGGCGUGUGACUGCGUACCUUUUGUAUAAUGGGUCAGCGACUUAUAUUCUGUAGCAAGGUUAACCGAAUAGGGGAGCCGAAGGGAAACCGAGUCUUAACUGGGCGUUAAGUUGCAGGGUAUAGACCCGAAACCCGGUGAUCUAGCCAUGGGCAGGUUGAAGGUUGGGUAACACUAACUGGAGGACCGAACCGACUAAUGUUGAAAAAUUAGCGGAUGACUUGUGGCUGGGGGUGAAAGGCCAAUCAAACCGGGAGAUAGCUGGUUCUCCCCGAAAGCUAUUUAGGUAGCGCCUCGUGAAUUCAUCUCCGGGGGUAGAGCACUGUUUCGGCAAGGGGGUCAUCCCGACUUACCAACCCGAUGCAAACUGCGAAUACCGGAGAAUGUUAUCACGGGAGACACACGGCGGGUGCUAACGUCCGUCGUGAAGAGGGAAACAACCCAGACCGCCAGCUAAGGUCCCAAAGUCAUGGUUAAGUGGGAAACGAUGUGGGAAGGCCCAGACAGCCAGGAUGUUGGCUUAGAAGCAGCCAUCAUUUAAAGAAAGCGUAAUAGCUCACUGGUCGAGUCGGCCUGCGCGGAAGAUGUAACGGGGCUAAACCAUG
This 1148-nucleotide ribosomal RNA is filed under the name Escherichia coli. Its description in RNAcentral is "partial 23S ribosomal RNA". It matches the Rfam family "Bacterial large subunit ribosomal RNA", at positions 1 to 1191 of the family's 2925-position model. The record is from RNAcentral. Lineage: Bacteria; Pseudomonadati; Pseudomonadota; Gammaproteobacteria; Enterobacterales; Enterobacteriaceae.